CUUGUUACUUAUGUUUAUAUUAUAUUGCAAUUGUGAACACAUUCACUAGCUCUUUGCAUAAUAAUUAAAUAUCUUUCAUGCCCAAUGAAAACAAAUUAUCUUGGAUUUUGGAAAACUGUAUUGAUUUUUUUCUAUUUUAUUAUUAUUUUUUUCAGACAGAGUCUCACUCUAUUGAUGGGCUGGAGUGCAGUGGCGCGCCCUUUGCUCACUCUAACCUCUGCUUCCUGGGUUCAAGCAAUUCUGCUGCCUCAGCCUCCCAAGUAGCUGGGACAACAGGUUUCUGCCACCACACCUGGCUAUUUUGUAGUUUUAGUAGAGGCAGGGAUUCCCUCUUUUUGGAUUGUUUGAAAUAGUUUUAGAAGAAAUGGUGCCAGCUCUUCCUUGUGUGUCUGGUAGAAUUCGGCUGUGAACCCGUCUGGACCUGGGCUUUUUUUGUGUGGUAGGCUCUUAAUUGCUGCCUCAACUUCAGACCUUGUUAUUGGUCUAUUCAUAGUUUCAGCUUCCUCCUGGUUUAGGCUUGGGAGGACACAGGAAUCCAGGAAUUUGUCCAUUUCUUCCAGGUUUACUAGUUUAUGCACAUAGAGUUGUUUGUAAUAUUCUCUGAUGAUGGUUUGAAUUUCUGUGGAAUCUGUGGUGAUUUCCCCUUUAUCAUUUUUUAUUGCAUCUAUUUGGUUGUUCUCUCUUUUAUUUUUAAUCAAUAUGGCUAGUGGUCUAUUUUGUUGACCUUUUCAAAAAACCAGCUCUUGGAUUUAUUGAUUUUUUUGAAGGGUUUUUCGUGUCUCAAUCUCCUUCAGCUCAGCUCUGAUCUUAGUUAUUUCUUGUCUUCUGCUGGGUUUUUUUUGGUCUUGGUCCUCUAGCUCUUUCAAUUUUGACGAUAGGGUGUCAAUUUUGGAUCUCUCCAUUCUCCUCAUAUGGGCACUUAUUGCUAUAUACUUUCCUCUAGAGACUGCUUUAAAUGUGUCCCAGAGGUUCUGGCACGUUGUGUCUUCGUUCUCAUUGGUUUCGAAGAACUUCUUUAUUUCUGCCUUCAUUUCGUUGUUUACCCAGUCAACAUUCAAGAGCCAGUUGUUCAGUUUCCAUGAAGCUGUGUGGUUCUGGGUCGGUUUCUGAAUUCUGAGUUCUAACUUGAUUGCACUAUGGUCUGAGAGGCUGUUUGUUAUGAUUUCAGUUGUUUUGCAUUUGUUGAGCAGUGCUUUACUUCCAAUUAUGUGGUCAAUUUUAGAGUAGGUGUUAUGUGGUGCUGAGAAGAAUGUGUAUUCUGUGGAUUUGGGGUGGAGAGUUCUGUAAAUGUCUAUCAGGUUUGCUUGCUCCAGGUCUGAGUUCAAGCCCUGGAUAUCCUUGUUGAUUUUUUGUCUGGUAGAUCUGUCUAGUAUUGACAGUGGAGUGUUAAAGUCUCCCACUAUUAUUGUGUGGGAGUCUAAGUCCUUUUGUAAGUCCUUAAGAACUUGUCUUAUGUAUCUGGGUGCUCCUGCAUUGGGUCCAUAUAUGUUUAGGAUUGUUAGCUCUUCUUGUUGUAUCGAUCCUUUUACCAUUAUGUAAUGGCCUUCUUUGUCUCUUUUGAUCUUUGUUGCUUUAAAGUCUAUUUUAUUGGAGAUGAGAAUUGCAACUCCUGCUUUUUUUUUGCUCUCCAUUUGCUUGGUAAAUCUUCCUCCAUCCCUUUAUUUUGAGCCUUUGUGUAUCCUUGCAUGUGAGAUGGGUUUCCUGGAUACAGCACACUGAUGGGUUUUGGCUUUUUAUCCAAUUUGCCAGUCUGUGUCUUUUGAUUGGUGCAUUUAGUCCAUUUACAUUUAGGGUUAAUAUUGUUAUGUGUGAAUUUGAUACUGCCAUUUUGAUGCUAAGUGGCUGUUUUGCCUGUUAGUUGUUGUAGAUUCUUCAUUAUGUUGAUGCUCUUUAGCAUUCAGUGUGAUUUUGGAAUGGCUGGUACUGGUUGAUCCUUUCUAUGUGUAGUGCCUCUUUUAGGAGCUCUUGUAAAGCAGGCCUGGUGGUGACAAAAUCUCUGAGUACUUGCUUGUUCGCAAAGGAUUUUAUUUUUCCUUCACUUCUGAAGCUCAGUUUGGCUGGAUAUGAAAUUCUGGGUUGAAAGUUCUUUUCUUUAAGAAUGUUGAAUAUUGGCCCCCACUCUCUUCUGGCUUGUAGUGUUUCUGCCGAGAGAUCUGCUGUGAGUCUGAUGGGCUUCCCUUUGUGGGUGACCCGACCUUUCUCUCUGGCUGCCCUUAGUAUUCUCUCCUUUAUUUCAACCCUAUUGAAUCUGACGAUUAUGUGCCUUGGGGUUGCUCUUCUUGCGGAAUAUCUUUGUGGUGUUCUCUGAAUUUCCUGCAAUUGAGUGUUGGCCUGUCUUGCUAGGUGGGGGAAAUUUUCCUGGAUGAUGUCCUGAAGAGUAUUUUCCAGCUUGGAUUCAUUCUCUUCGUCCCUUUCUGGUACACCUAUCAAACGUAGGUUAGGUCUUUUCACAUAGUCCCACAUUUCUUGGAGACUUUGUUCAUUCCUUUUUGUGUUUUUUUCUCUAAUCUUGGUUUCUCAUUUUAUUUCAUUGAGUUGGUCUUCGACUUCAGAUAUUCUUUCUUCUGCUUGGUCAAUUCGGCUAUUGAAACUUGUGCAUGCUUCGUGAAGUUCUCGUAUUGUGUUUCUCAGCUCCUUUAAUUCAUUCAUAUUCCUCUCUAAGUUAUCCAUUCUUGUUAUCAUUUCCUCAAAUCUUUUUUCAAAUCUUUUCUCAAGGUUCUUAGUUUCUUUGCAUUGAUUUAAUACAUGAUCUUUUGGCUCACCAAAGUUUCUCAUUAUCCAUCUUCUGAAGUCUAAUUCCGUCAUUUCGUCACAGUCAUUCUCCGUCCAGCUUCGUUCCCUUGCUGGUGAGGAGUUUUGGUCCUUUCUAGGAGGCGAGGUGUUCUGGUUUUGGGUGUUUUCCUCCUUUUUGCUCUGGUUUCUUCCCAUCUUUGCGGAUUUGUCCGCUGGUCGUCUGCGUAGUUGCUGACUUUUCGAUUGGGUCUCUGAGUGGACACCCUGAAUGUUGAUGAUGAAGUAUUUCUGUUGCUUGGUUUUCCUUCUACCAGUCUAGCCCCUUCGCUGUACGAGUGCUGAGGUCCGCUCCAGACCCUGCUUGUCUGGGGUGCACCUCUAGCAGCUGUGGCACAGUGAGGGAUGCUACCAGUUUCUUUUUCUGCUAUCUUUGUCCCAGGAUGGUGCCUGCCUAAUGUCAGUCUUUUGGAUAUAGAGGGGUCAGGGAGCUGCUUGAGGAGACAGUUUGUACUUUAUAGGGGUUUAAUUGCUGAGCUGUGAGCUGUGUUGUUCAUUCAGGGCUGUUAGGCUGCUAUGUUUGAUUCUGCUGCAAUAGAGCUCAUUUAAAAAACCCUUUUUUUUCUCAAAUG
Long non-coding RNA from Callithrix jacchus (white-tufted-ear marmoset), 3362 nucleotides. The record is from Ensembl. Lineage: Eukaryota; Metazoa; Chordata; Mammalia; Primates; Cebidae.